Molecule: unclassified non-coding RNA, 1433 nt
Filed under: uncultured Neocallimastigales
Lineage: Eukaryota; Fungi; Neocallimastigomycota; Neocallimastigomycetes; Neocallimastigales
Description: partial contains small subunit ribosomal RNA, internal transcribed spacer 1, 5.8S ribosomal RNA, internal transcribed spacer 2, and large subunit ribosomal RNA
Rfam family: Eukaryotic large subunit ribosomal RNA (bases 656-1433)
Source: RNAcentral
UUUCCGUAGGUGAACCUGCGGAAGGAUCAUUAAAAAAUUGGACUCCAUUGGUGAGUUCAUUAAUAAUCCUACCCUUUGUGAAUUUGUUUGUUUGAAUAAUUUUUCUCCAAAAAAAAUUAUUGAAUGUCUUUCCCUGUUUUGGUGGAGCUUGUAAAGUGAAACCAGGCAGGGGAAUGGCAAACAGUAAUUAUUUUUGAAAAAGACCUUUUUUAAAAUUAAACUUUUUGUAUUCAUUUGUCUAAAAUUAUUUUUAUAAUAUAAAAACAACUUUUGACAAUGGAUCUCUUGGUUCUCGCAACGAUGAAGAACGCAGCAAAAUGCGAUAAGUAGUGUGAAUUGCAGAAUACGUGAAUCAUCGAAUCUUCGAACGCAUAUUGCACUUUUUUAGUUUACUAAAAAAGUAUGUCUGUUUGAGUAUCAGUAAAAUAUUCUCAUAAAAAAUUUAUUUUUUAUGGUUAUGAGUGUUUUACAACGAUAACAAGUUGUUUCACUUUAAAUUCUUUGUUAUCAAAAAAAUCAUUAAAAGCUAAUUUUAAAGAUUUUUUAAAAUUGGAUAAAAUCUUCCCGUAAAAAGGAAUAACCUAAACAAUUUUAAAAAAUUAAAAUUGGUUUGAUUUUUCUUGAUUUAAAAAGGAAAAAAAAGUAAAAAUUAACUUGAUCUCAAAUCAGAUAAGAGUACCCGCUGAACUUAAGCAUAUCAAUAAGCGGAGGAAAAGAAACUAACUAGGAUUCCCUCAGUAACGGCGAGUGAAGCGGGAAGAGCUCAAAUUUGAAAUCUUCAAGGUUUUACCUUGACGAAUUGUAGUUUAAAGAAGUGUUUUCUGUUGGAGUUUUGGUAAAAGUUCUUUGGAAAAGGACAUCAUAGAGGGUGAGAAUCCCGUAUUUGACCAUUAUCUCCAGCUUUGUGAUACACUUUCAAAGAGUCGGAUUGUUUGGGAAUGCAGUCCAAAAUGGGUGGUAAAUUUCAUCUAAAGCUAAAUACUGGCGAGAGACCGAUAGCGAACAAGUACCGUGAGGGAAAGAUGAAAAGAACUUUGAAAAGAGAGUUAAACAGUACGUGAAAUUGUCAAAAGGGAAGCGUUUGACACCAGUGUUGUUUUCUCGAAAAUCAAUUAAAAAAGGCCGGAUUUUGUGUUGUAUUGACUUUAUCAGCUUUCUGCACUUCUUUCUUGUCUUUUUUAAUGCACUUUUCGUUUAACAAGUCAACAUCAAUUUCUUUUGUUGUAAAAGGGUCAUUGGAAGGUGGCUUUCUUUUCGGAGAAAGUGUUUAUAGCCUUUGGCCUCUGCAAUCGGAGAGAUUGAGGUCUGCAGCGUAGAUCCUUCGGGGUUAGAUACAUUUGUGCUAAGUUAUAGCCUUUCAUAGACAACUUGUUGACUAUGAUCAGUCAUGUAGCUUACUCGCUUAUGCUAUUUUACCUACGCUUAGGAUGUUG